UCAAACAAGCUGGGGCGCUCCAUUUGAGCUGAGAAGUAACCCAUUGAACCUGCUACGGUUAGCACCGACGAAGGAAGCUUGGUUAUUUACCCG
Molecule: non-coding RNA, 93 nt
Filed under: Weissella koreensis
Lineage: Bacteria; Bacillati; Bacillota; Bacilli; Lactobacillales; Lactobacillaceae
Description: TPP sequence
Rfam family: TPP riboswitch aptamer (THI element)
About the family: Vitamin B(1) in its active form thiamin pyrophosphate (TPP) is an essential coenzyme that is synthesised by coupling of pyrimidine and thiazole moieties in bacteria. The previously detected thiamin-regulatory element, thi box was extended, resulting in a new, highly conserved RNA secondary structure, the THI element, which is widely distributed in eubacteria and also occurs in some archaea. Analysis of operon structures identified a large number of new candidate thiamin-regulated genes, mostly transporters, in various prokaryotic organisms.
Source: RNAcentral